GAUGAACGCUGGCGGCGUGCCUAAUACAUGCAAGUCGAGCGAGCGGACGAGAAGCUUGCUUCUCUGAUGUUAGCGGCGGACGGGUGAGUAACACGUGGAUAACCUACCUAUAAGACUGGGAUAACUUCGGGAAACCGGAGCUAAUACCGGAUAAUAUUUUGAACCGCAUGGUUCAAAAGUGAAAGACGGUCUUGCUGUCACUUAUCGAUGGAUCCGCGCUGCAUUAGCUAGUUGGUAAGGUAACGGCUUACCAAGGCAACGAUGCAUAGCCGACCUGAGAGGGUGAUAGGCCACACUGGAACGGAGACACGGUCAAGACUCCUACGGGAGGCAGCAGUAGGGAAUCUUCCGCAAUGGGCGAAAGCCUGACGGAGCAACGCCGCGUGAGUGAUGAAGGUCUUCGGAUCGUAAAACUCUGUUAUUAGGGAAGAACAUAUGUGUAAGUAACUGUGCACAUCUUGACGGUACCUAAUCAGAAAGCCACGGCUAACUACGUG
RNAcentral lists this ribosomal RNA (497 nucleotides) under uncultured bacterium. Its description in RNAcentral is "partial 16S ribosomal RNA". It matches the Rfam family "Bacterial small subunit ribosomal RNA", at positions 28 to 507 of the family's 1533-position model. The record is from RNAcentral.